Long non-coding RNA from Dreissena polymorpha, 435 nucleotides. RefSeq lists it as uncharacterized. NCBI's taxonomy places the organism in Eukaryota, Metazoa, Mollusca, Bivalvia, Myida, Dreissenidae. The record is from RefSeq and is a predicted model, not a curated record. The transcript has 3 exons.
CCAGCUUCCCCGGGUGCACUGACGGUUGCAGCACUCAACCAUGCCCUCGUCCUUUGUGCGUCUGCAUGUGUAGAAUUUUGAAAGAACGGACAUGCAUUCAGCGCUGUAGUACCAUGCUUCUGACCGAAUAUUCGACUGGCGGUUAGAAAAUCGACUGAUCACGCUGAGGAAGAGCUGGUGUGGUUGCUGCAACAGUUUCAGACAACACCCACACUGGUCAAGACUAUAAUAUUCUGCAAGUCGUACAGGUGUGUAUAUCAAGUGUGGUCAUGGUUGGUUAUUCAACUCGGUGACACGUCCUACGACGGGGAGCACCAUAGCUGCAACCGCGUUGUUGAAAUGUUUACAUCUUCAACAACGGACGCCACGAAGGAGAGGAUUCUAAAUGAUUUCCGGGCCGGAAGAGUUCACGUCGUUGUGGCAACAGUCGCCUUU